This 468-nucleotide ribosomal RNA is filed under the name uncultured bacterium. RNAcentral describes it as "partial 16S ribosomal RNA". It matches the Rfam family "Bacterial small subunit ribosomal RNA", at positions 28 to 507 of the family's 1533-position model. The record is from RNAcentral.
GACGAACGCUGGCGGCGUGCUUAACACAUGCAAGUCGAACGGAAAGGCCCUGCUUUUGUGGGGUGCUCGAGUGGCGAACGGGUGAGUAACACGUGAGUAACCUGCCCUUGACUUUGGGAUAACUUCAGGAAACCGGGGCUAAUACCGGAUAGGAGCUCCUGCUGCAUGGUGGGGGUUGGAAAGUUUCGGCUGUUGGGGAUGGACUCGGGGCUUAUCAGCUUGUUGGUGGGGGAGUGGCUUACCAAGGCUUUGACGGGUAGCCGGCCUGAGAGGGUGACCGGCCACAUUGGGACUGCGAUACGGCCCAGACUCCUACGGGGGGCAGCGGUGGGGAAUAUUGCACAAUGGGCGGAAGCCUGAUGCAGCAACGCCGCGUGCGGGAUGACGGCCUUCGGGUUGUAAACCGCUUUCGCCUGUGACGAAGCGUGAGUGACGGUAAUGGGUAAAGAAGCACCGGCUAACUACGUG